GCUAGUGUGGUAUAGUGGUUUGAGCACUGGACUAGGAUUCUGGAGACUGGGGUUCAAAUCCCAGUUUGGGCA
Molecule: transfer RNA, 72 nt
Filed under: Phrynosoma platyrhinos (Desert horned lizard)
Lineage: Eukaryota; Metazoa; Chordata; Lepidosauria; Squamata; Phrynosomatidae
Description: tRNA-OTHER
Source: RNAcentral